RNAcentral lists this ribosomal RNA (196 nucleotides) under uncultured bacterium. RNAcentral's name for it is "partial 16S ribosomal RNA". It matches the Rfam family "Bacterial small subunit ribosomal RNA", at positions 334 to 525 of the family's 1533-position model. The record is from RNAcentral.
UACUCCUACGGGAGGCAGCAGUGAGGAAUAUUGGUCAAUGGACGAGAGUCUGAACCAGCCAAGUAGCGUGAAGGAUGACUGCCCUAUGGGUUGUAAACUUCUUUUAUAUGGGAAUAAAGUUCUCCACGUGUGGAGUUUUGUAUGUACCAUUAUGAAUAAGCAUCGGCUAACUCCGUGCCAGCGAGCCGCGGUAAUA